RNAcentral lists this ribosomal RNA (208 nucleotides) under Spadicoides sp. RNAcentral describes it as "partial large subunit ribosomal RNA". The record is from RNAcentral. Lineage: Eukaryota; Fungi; Ascomycota; Sordariomycetes; Xenospadicoidales; Xenospadicoidaceae.
AAGCGCUUGUGGCCAGACUUGGGCCUCGGGGAUCAGCUGGCGUUCUCGCCAGCGCACUCCGCGGGGCCCAGGCCAGCAUCGGUUUCCCUAGGGGGACAAAAGCUUCGGGAACGUAGCUCCUCCGGGAGUGUUAUAGCCCGUUGCAGAAUACCCCUGGGGGGACCGAGGUACGCGCUCCGCAAGGAUGCUGGCGUAAUGGUCAUCAGCG